CCUGGGCCCAGACCUGGUCCAUAAAGAGUUGGUCCCUUGAGGCCCACAUAACCUAGACCUCAAGAACCCGAAAGGCCCACAGCCUUUCAACCUAGGGCCCAACUAGCCCUAGAGCCUCCAUGAAGUCCUCAUGAAUGAUGGACCUUGGCCUUAGCCUUGAUUCCAUGUGCCUUGGGCACAUCACCUGGAUCACAACAAUCUCCACCUUGAUGUCCCA
Molecule: long non-coding RNA, 217 nt
Filed under: Elaeis guineensis (African oil palm)
Lineage: Eukaryota; Viridiplantae; Streptophyta; Magnoliopsida; Arecales; Arecaceae
Description: long non-coding RNA (EGUI_LNC050387)
Source: RNAcentral